Molecule: transfer RNA, 71 nt
Filed under: Clostridium sp. CAG:678
Lineage: Bacteria; Bacillati; Bacillota; Clostridia; Eubacteriales; Clostridiaceae
Rfam family: tRNA
About the family: Transfer RNA (tRNA) molecules are approximately 80 nucleotides in length. Their secondary structure includes four short double-helical elements and three loops (D, anti-codon, and T loops).
Source: Rfam by way of RNAcentral
GUAGCAUUAGUGUAAUGGUAACACAACAACUUCACAAGGUGAUAUUAAUGGUUCAAAUCCGUUAUGCUACA